RNAcentral lists this transfer RNA (71 nucleotides) under Datura stramonium (jimsonweed). RNAcentral's name for it is "tRNA-Cys". It matches the Rfam family "tRNA". Rfam says of the family: Transfer RNA (tRNA) molecules are approximately 80 nucleotides in length. The record is from RNAcentral. Lineage: Eukaryota; Viridiplantae; Streptophyta; Magnoliopsida; Solanales; Solanaceae.
GGCUAGGUAACAUAAUGGAAAUGUUUCGGACUGCAAAUCCUGGAAUGACGGUUCGACCCCGUCCUUGGCCU